This is a long non-coding RNA of Callithrix jacchus (white-tufted-ear marmoset), 3294 nucleotides long. RefSeq lists it as uncharacterized. NCBI's taxonomy places the organism in Eukaryota, Metazoa, Chordata, Mammalia, Primates, Cebidae. The record is from RefSeq and is a predicted model, not a curated record.
AGCCAUUGCUAUGACUUUCAAAACAGAGGUUAGAAACCCGUAAGACUUUGAGGAAUAAUGAAGUCUUUGUAAUCAAUAAAAUUCCUGAAAAAUAUAUAAGCAGGUCAGAUUCAGUGGCAAGUGAGAAGAGUACACUGAGACCCAGUGGGAACAAUUUGAUGAUCUCAUAAUACAUAAAUAAAUUCAAACCUUUUGGAUUUACUGUCUCUCUGCUCUCGGACUGGUUGAAUCAGGUGUCUUGAGUGACACUACACUGGAAACCGGAUUUGGACUGGGAUCUGUGGUAUGCUUACCUCCAGAGUCAUCCUCCUCCUGUCGCCGCCAUCAAUUCUUUGAAGAGAUGGUCUAUAGAAAAUUGCAAUUCAUCCAUUUGUUCUUUGACUCAGUAAACAGUUUUUACUGAACAUCUUCUAUGUGCUAGUGCUUUAUGAGACCAUGGAAAUAAUACGAUUAAUGAGACAAAAAUGGUGUCUGUCCUUGUGGAGCUUACAGUCAGUGGAUUAGGCUGGGAACCAGUACGAACAACUCAGUUAAUUCUGAGAAUUUGUAACAGAGUGUUUGGGUCUUGGGAUGCUUUUCAAAGUUGUGACAUUUAAGCAAUUAUCUGAAAGGUGAGAAAUCAAUAUACAACAUGAUGGCAGUGUGAGAGCCCCCAUGAGUCUUCUAGAUAGAGAUAAACGCAUUUUAAAAGACCCUGAAAAUUCGAGUAGCUCUCUAAAGGAGUUAGAUAUGGGUGGGGCCAGCUUCAUGGCUGUGCGACUCAGAAGGGUGUGUGCUUUAUUCUCACCAUCUUGAAAUUCUGUUUUUUUUUUUUCUUUUUUGAGGUGGAGACUCGCUCUGUCGCGUGGGCUUGAGUGCAGUGGCAUGAUCUUGGCUCGCUACAACCUCUGACUCCUGGGUUCCAGUGAUUCUCCUGCCUCAGCCUCCUGAGUAGCUGGAAUUACGGUUUUUGCAGGAGAAGAAACUCAAUUGGGAGGUGAAAUUCAAAGGAGGCGCAAAUGCUGUGUGUGAGCUGCGGCAGACAAAUGGUGCCAAGGGAAGAGUCGGAAUAACGACCAGGAGCCAGGACAGACACAUGCAGAAGGAAGGCCAUGUGAAGACACAGGGAGAAGACGACCAUCUAUGGGCCUGGGAGAGAGGCCCAGAAGAAACCAGCCCUGCUGACACCUUGAUCUUGAACUGUGGCCUCCAGAAUUGUGAGAAAAAAUUUCUGCUGUUUGUGCCACUCAAUCUGUGGCACUUUGUUAUGGCAGCCUUAGCAAACUCUUACAGGGUGCAUAAAAAAUGACCCUUCUUUUGAUGUCUUAUAGGAUGGUGGUGGGAAGACAUUUAACACAGGUUUUUGGGUCAGGCAUAGUGGCUCAUGCCCAUUAUCUCAACACUUUGGGAGGCCAAGGUGAGACGAUGGCCUGAGCCUAGGAGUUUGAGACCAUCUUGGGCACCAUAGCGAGAUUCUGUCUCUAUCAAAAAUUUAAAAAUUAGCCUGGAGUGUUGGCAUGCACCUGUAGUCCCGGCUUUUUGGGAGGCUGAGGCAGGAGGAUGAUUUGAGCCCAAGAGUUUGAGGCUGCAGUGAGCUAUUAUCACACUACUGCACUUCAGCCUGGGUGACAAAGGAAGACCCUGUCUCUAAAAAGUAAAAUAAAAUAAAGUAAAGUAAAAUAGGCUUUUGUAAAAGGUGAAAGACUGCAGCAGGGAACCCAACUCACAAACUAAAAUAAAACUAACAACCCAUCUCAUGCGUAAAAGGGUCUGUUCAGGGAUGGAAGCCUUUGGGUCUCCCUACUCCUCUAUACCUACAAGGGGGAAGCCCUACAGUACAGCUGUGGGUAUUUUAUCAUGGAAUUUUAUGCUCACAUGUGCUGAGACCAGAGCUGGCAUGCAGAACCACAAGGGGCCUGUGUCUGGAAUUUGUGGCCGAGAAAGGAGCCAUAGAACUCAGGUGUCACAACCACAGAUGUCUCCAGAAACCGGUUUGGACAUCCAGGGUCUUCAGAUGGCCAUAGUGUCCCUGUGAGUGUGCUGGGAAGGCUGUGCCCUGCAGAAGCAUUUGUAAGCACUUGGACAAGAACUGUGUGUUUUGACAUCCCUGCACUCUGGCCCCUGAGUGCAGCUAAACAGGCAGCUGCCAUCCCAUCAUCUGCACGUAGAGAGUAGCGAUGGUCAGAAACAUUAUAGGAAUGCUCUUUGGCAAAGACUAACCCCCCAGGAUGCUCCAGGAAAAUAGUUUUGGACACAGGAAUUGCCAGGUCUGGAGAAGCACAGUUCAGUCUCUCAGAUGUUUGGAACAUGACUAAAUGUUUGGGUGCAUGGUCCUUCAUCAGAGGCCUUUAAAUAGUUCACAUUAAAUCCUGAUCCUGUACCAGACAGUGGCCAGUGAAGAGUUAUCAGAUCCACUGUUCUAGUAACCAAACACCCUGGGGGGGGGUUCUUUCAGAGAUAAAAGUCAACCAGUGAGAAAGUUAAAGAUUCACGUUUAGCUGCUGGAACUGCACUGCGCUUAUGCAGGAGGAGCCCAAUCUUCUUUGCUAAUGAACUUCUUUGCUAAUAAAGUUCCUUUAUACUGGGAACUCAUUUUCCUGAUGUUUAAAACAGAAAAAAAGUCAUGCCUCAGUAGCUGCAGGGAUUGAUUCUAGGACCCUCUGUGCAUACCAAAAUCCAAAGAUGCUCAAGUCUUUUAUAUAAAAGGGUACAGUAUUCACACACAACCUACACACAUCCUCCACUACACUUUAAAUCACCUUUAGAUUACUUAUAAUACCCAGUCCCAUGUAAAUGCUAUGUAAAUAGUUUUAUACUGUAUUUUUAUUUGUAUUACUUAUUGUUGUAUUGUUAUUUAUCUUUUAUUUUUUCCCGAACAAUUUAAUCUCUAGUUUGUUGAAUCUGUGGAUGUGGAAUCCAUUGAUAUGAAGGGCCAACUGUGAUAAUAAAAAUACGUCUUGGUAUGAAUGGCCUUGAAGUAUUUUAUCAGUUUGAAAAGCAAAAAGGGAUUAACUUUGCCACAGUAAAGCUCUGGAAGGCCCUGCCCACAAUAUGCAUUCAGGAAGCCCCAUGGGUGAUGGUGGUAAAAUGAUAAUGUCCCGGUAGCUCUUCUAGUAGGCAUUGAUCCCUGCACUAGGCAUUCUUGAGACAUUCUAUGAUACUACUGUGCCACAUCCUUUUUCUUUUUUUCUAGUCUUGAAGUCUGAGCGACAGAAUGACACUAGAUGAGCCAUUAGGUUAGAUAUUUAAAACGUUGGAAGCAACGUAAACAAAUGAGUUGUCAAAUGGGUGAAAGUUAUGUUUUAACAGCCAAAA